GGAGUUAGCCGGUGCUUCUUCUGUGAGUGAUGUCCUUCCUGCCGGCUAUUAACCCGCAGGCCUUCUUCCUCACUGAAAGUGCUUUACAACCCGAAGGCCUUCUUCACACACGCGGCAUGGCUGGAUCAGGGUUGCCCCCAUUGUCCAAUAUUCCCCACUGCUGCCUCCCGUAGGAGUCUGGGCCGUGUCUCAGUCCCAGUGUGGCUGAUCAUCCUCUCAGACCAGCUACGGAUCGUCGCCUUGGUGAGCCGUUACCUCACCAACCAGCUAAUCCGACAUAGGCUCAUCCGAUAGCGCGAGGCCCGAAGGUCCCCCGCUUUCCCCCGUAGGGCGUAUGCGGUAUUAGCCUGGGUUUCCCCAGGUUAUCCCCCACUACCGGGCAGAUUCCUAUGCAUUACUCACCCGUCCGCCGCUCGCCACCAGGGAGCAAGCUCCCCGUGCUGCCGCUCGACUUGCAUGUGUAGCNCGCCGCCAGCGUCAUCUGAGCCAGAAUACAACUACUGA
Molecule: ribosomal RNA, 504 nt
Filed under: uncultured bacterium
Lineage: Bacteria
Description: partial 16S ribosomal RNA
Source: RNAcentral